This 790-nucleotide long non-coding RNA is filed under the name Fukomys damarensis (Damara mole-rat). RNAcentral's name for it is "lncRNA (ENSFDAG00000031518.1)". The record is from RNAcentral. Lineage: Eukaryota; Metazoa; Chordata; Mammalia; Rodentia; Bathyergidae.
CCCUCGGAACACCUGCACGUGCCCCGCUCGGUAGGCGGUGCCUUCAGCAGCUGCCCCUGAGCCUCGCUCCCUUCGCCUCGCCCCAGGCUUCAGCCCAGUAGCAGGCCCAACACCUAACUUUUGGUCCCCGUGCGUCCUCGCGCUCGGCCACCUUGCUAGACCCCAGAAACGCUUUCUCUUUUGCGAAGUUGAGCUCCGUGGACGACGGGGGCCAGAGGAGCCCAGCUCGGUAGCACAUUCCCCUAACUUACUAGCCGAACAGACAGAGAUAGAGAGACAGAGCACCCAAACCUAUGAAGUUUCUGAAGUUCCAGAUUUUAUUGACUGUGAUGACUCUUCUGUGUAUUUUCACAAUAAUAAAGGGCUUAAGAAAGAAGUAAGGGACGACUCUGGUCGUCCCCAGCCUUCGUGUGACAGCCGACUACAGAAGAAAGUUCUGUAGAACUAGGCAGCGGCUGAAUACCAAGUCUGCACAGCACAGGCGGCGGAGGUCACAAGAUGCACUGUGGACUGAGCUGCUUUCUUACGCGGACACCUCACACAUGGCGCCGUAGAACAAAUGCCAGCUAUUGCUGUCCACACUUCCUAAGUGUGCAGUGGCUACCAAGACGUGCACUGCCUUGUUGCUGCUCCACAAGAUCCAAACUCUGCGAUCGGCCUCACAUCCGAGACUCUGAAGGACGAGAGCAAGCACAACAGCUCAGACACCAAAAAGUUCCUCAGCGAUUAGAACCUUGUUCAAGAUCCCUUGGCAAAACGAGAACAACAAAUUUUCCUAGAUUAUAACCAG